Long non-coding RNA from Biomphalaria glabrata, 2476 nucleotides. RefSeq lists it as uncharacterized. The transcript has 2 exons. The record is from RefSeq and is a predicted model, not a curated record. Lineage: Eukaryota; Metazoa; Mollusca; Gastropoda; Planorbidae.
UGUCAAUGUGAUAGACACUUCCAUACUAUUUAGACUCCUUGCCAAUAGAUGCCAGACUGAAUUCAACUAGAACUUUUAUUCCUCAGCACUAGAUGGCGCUUCGGGGGAAUGAAAUGAAAUCUGUCCCACACAGCACGUGAUGUGUCCAUAUUUAAACCAAGAAGCAAAUGUUCCUUUUGUUUUAUGAUGAGACAACAUGGCGCGAAGACAACAUGGCGCGCAAGACAACAUGACGUGAAGAAACGUGAAGAGUGAGUGAGACAUAAAGUAGCGAGGGACAGGAAUGAUUUAAAAGACGGGUUACAAGGCUGCAUUUAAAGACACAAUUGCUCUACCUACUAUAAACAGAUCAAUACGGACCAGUCUAAGCUACAAAAAUAUGACCAGAGCGAUGGAAAGGUUUAGUGCAGCUUAUGCUUCAGAAUAUAUACAACUCCUUUGACAACCAUUCGACACACAAAGCACGUUCCUGGAUGUGAUCUGGUUACCACUUUGGUCAAUACACGGACAUACAUCCUACAGACAAACAGCAAGAAAAUAUCGGAAUUAAACCGACACCAUUCGUUAUGAAGGCCUGAACACUGACCUGCAUCUGUGGGCAGUUUAGAUUUAUAGCUCGUUGCCACGUCGUACACACCUGAGCUAUUGGUCUAAACUGCCCACAUGUAGUGACGUUGCAGGUCAGUGAACAGGGCUUCUAUAACGAUUGGCCUCGCUUAAACCCAAACUCAAUUCUUCACUGUCCACAAUCGAGUUCAAAGCCAACACCGACUGCUACUAUAGCUGUUCAUCCAAUCAAAUCUCAGUACAAUGCAGUGGAAUGCAUCAUUUCUGGAGCAUUUAGAUAGAUACAACAUUUAUAUACAGGAACUCAUAACUGUCUCUGGUUCCGAACCGUCAUUCCAACUGCUACAUAUGCAUGUGAGACGUGGAAGUCAUCUGUCAAAAUUGAGAAAAGACUAAAUGUGGCUCAACAGAGAUGGCUGAGACGGAUUUUUGGGAGUCAAGUUACACAGACCGGAUCUCAAACAAGGAAAUCCUAUGCCGAACUGGAAGUCGAACACUUUGUGAGGUUGUGACUGAGCGUCGCAUAAGGUUUGCGGGACAUGUUCUACGUCAAAAUGAAUUACGCACACCAAGAGUUGCGAUAACACGGAAGCCAAAACGAGGAAAGCGCAAACAGGGACGUCCUCGUAUUACCUGGCGACAUACCUUCAUGGUGGAACUCAGAACAGUGGACACCAGGUGGGAGGAGGCUUCAGACAUUGCCAGUGACAGAUCAUUAUGGAGACAGCUUGCCGCCCAAUGCGCCGAACGGCGCGGGAGGACCUAAGUAAGUAAGUAAGUAAGCUUAGCGAAAAGGGGCGCUAAAUGGCUUCCAAGAUAAACAGGAUUAUCCAGAAAAUGUUAAGAAAACUUUUUUUUAUGGAAAAUAUAACUUCAAUUAAUAAUCAUUGUAAGAAAAUUAAUUAUUUCGUUUCUUGAUAAGUCUUAAGAAAUAUUUUAGAAAUAUUUUUAAAAAAUAUUUGCAACAGAACAAAGUUUCCUAAAAGAAUAAUACAUCUCGUUCUAUUGGGCACAGAAAAACCAUUAUCCUAUACAUCUAGUAGACUUAGCACUGACCUAGAUUUUUAGACAACGACUCACCUGUUGAUUAUUUGAAAAGCACGUGAGAAAAAAAUAAAUCCAGAGUCAUCUCUAGCAAAACUGAAAAACCUAAAAAGUAUCUUUAACACAUUUCCGAUGAGCGUAUAGUGUAUGGUGUAUAGAUCUACUCUCUCUGUGUGUGUAUGUAUAUGUCACUAUGUGUCAGAUUACCCACUUUGUUGUUUGUUUAUUCCUGUGUCUGUAAUUUUAAAAUGGACUUGUGACAGGAAAUAACUUCCACGUUUUGCUGAGGAGGGGGGGGGGGAGAGGGGAAUGUAUUCAACUGAACUAGGAUGGCGCUAACAGUUGUCUGCCCUUGUUUUUACGAUGUCUUGCUGCUCUCCCUUGGGUAGUGUCGCUAGUACAAAAAGACCAUAGUAAAUUUGCUUAGCAGACCGUGUCCACAUACCCCCCAACAUUUUUUUUAUUGUUCUUCAAAUUGUACCUGCGUGAGGACUAUUUUGGCCAUGACCAUGUGCCUCUAGGAAUGAGGAGAGGAACAGAGGAGAAGAGCGGAACAGAGAAGGAGACACGUGGAGAAUGGAGAAGAGAAGGCAGUUUGAAGUUCGUGAUGUCUUUACUUAUUUAUUACAAAGCGAAUUUCAACUCUGUCUGGUACACAUGAUGAACACGUUAUUUCUCCCACUUUUUUUCUCGGAUCAAGUUGAAAUUUGUGCUCAAUUAUUCAUCGUCCCUAACAAAAACAAAACAAAACAACAUGAAUCGACAAAAAAAGUAAUUAUUUUAUUAAUUAAUGGUAAUAAAUGGUAAUAAAUACAUUUUGUUUGAUAUAUAUAUAUAUAUAUAUAUAUAUAUAUAUAUAUAUAUA